CUCCUACGGGAGGCAGCAGUGGGGAAUUUUGGACAAUGGGGGAAACCCUGAUCCAGCCAUGCCGCGUGAGUGAAGAAGGCCUUCGGGUUGUAAAGCUCUUUCAGCCGGAAAGAAAUCGCACUGGUUAAUACCUUGUGUGGAUGACGGUACCGGAAGAAGAAGCACCGGCUAACUACGUGCCAGCAGCCGCGGUAAUACGUAGGGUGCGAGCGUUAAUCGGAAUUACUGGGCGUAAAGCGUGCGCAGGCGGUUUUGUAAGACAGAUGUGAAAUCCCCGGGCUUAACCUGGGAACUGCAUUUGUGACUGCAAGGCUAGAGUACGGCAGAGGGGGGUAGAAUUCCACGUGUAGCAGUGAAAUGCGUAGAUAUGUGGAGGAACACCGAUGGCGAAGGCAGCCCCCUGGGCCGAUACUGACGCUCAGGCACGAAAGCGUGGGGAGCAAACAGGAUUAGAUACCCUGGUAGUCCACGCCCUAAACGAUGUCGACUGGUUGUUGGGGGUUUGACACUCUCAGUAACGAAGCUAACGCGUGAAGUCGACCGCCUGGGGAGUACGGCCGCAAGGUUAAAACUCAAAGGAAUUGACGG
This 588-nucleotide ribosomal RNA is filed under the name uncultured bacterium. RNAcentral describes it as "bacterial SSU rRNA". It matches the Rfam family "Bacterial small subunit ribosomal RNA", at positions 336 to 916 of the family's 1533-position model. The record is from RNAcentral.